This 260-nucleotide unclassified non-coding RNA is filed under the name plant metagenome. RNAcentral describes it as "partial contains small subunit ribosomal RNA, internal transcribed spacer 1, and 5.8S ribosomal RNA". The stretch from base 213 to 260 matches the Rfam family "5.8S ribosomal RNA", at positions 1 to 48 of the family's 154-position model. The record is from RNAcentral.
UUUCCGUAGGUGAACCUGCGGAAGGAUCAUUAUUGAAUGAAACACUUCUGGCUUUAUGCUGUUGUGCUGGCCCUUUGGGCAAUGUGCACACGGCUCUGGUCACUUGUUUCUUCUGUUCCACCUGUGCACUGCCUGUAGACACGCUGUGUCUAUGACAUUUGUUAACACACAACAAUGUUAGUUGGCAUGUUAUAUAUAAUAAUAAAAUAUACAACUUUCAACAACGGAUCUCUUGGCUCUCGCAUCGAUGAAGAACGCGC